Molecule: ribosomal RNA, 300 nt
Filed under: uncultured Spiroplasma sp.
Lineage: Bacteria; Bacillati; Mycoplasmatota; Mollicutes; Entomoplasmatales; Spiroplasmataceae
Description: bacterial SSU rRNA
Rfam family: Bacterial small subunit ribosomal RNA (bases 52-300)
Source: RNAcentral
GUGAAGUGCGGGGAUGGUGUGGCGGUAAUAGGGAGGGUGGGGGAGUGGUCCGGAAUUACUGGGGGUAAAGGGCGUGUAGGCGGGGGUGCAAGUCAGGUGUGAAAGCCCAAUGCUUAACUUUGGGACGGCAUCUGAAACUGUAUUUCUUGAGUACUGGAGAGGGAAGCGGAAUUCCUGGUGUAGCGGUGAAAUGCGUAGAGAUCAGGAGGAACACCAGUGGCGAAGGCGGCUUCCUGGACAGAGACUGACGCUGAGGCGCGAAAGCGUGGGGAGCGAACAGGAUUAGAUACCCCAGUAGUC